Molecule: transfer RNA, 70 nt
Filed under: Dipodomys ordii (Ord's kangaroo rat)
Lineage: Eukaryota; Metazoa; Chordata; Mammalia; Rodentia; Heteromyidae
Rfam family: tRNA
About the family: Transfer RNA (tRNA) molecules are approximately 80 nucleotides in length.
Source: Rfam by way of RNAcentral
GGGACUAUGGCUCAGUGGUAGAGCGCUUGCCUAGCAGGCAUGAAGCCCUGGGUUCAAUUCCUCAGCACCA